This 76-nucleotide transfer RNA is filed under the name Marmota monax (woodchuck). Its description in RNAcentral is "tRNA.Undet". The record is from RNAcentral. Lineage: Eukaryota; Metazoa; Chordata; Mammalia; Rodentia; Sciuridae.
GGAGUUGUGGCUCAGCGGUAGAGCGCUCGCCUAGCUUGUGCGAGGCCCUGGGCCCUGGGUUCCAUCCUCAGCACCA